Long non-coding RNA from Olea europaea var. sylvestris, 2330 nucleotides. RefSeq lists it as uncharacterized. Lineage: Eukaryota; Viridiplantae; Streptophyta; Magnoliopsida; Lamiales; Oleaceae. The transcript is spliced from 2 exons. The record is from RefSeq and is a predicted model, not a curated record.
AAAAAUUGAAACCCAACCCAUUAUUAUCCUAGCCCAGUUGCUCAAAUCUAAACCUAGACAUUUCAUCCUCACCGCCUUUCUCUAGUGUCGCUUGUGUCCUCGACUGAACGAACUGAACAAAUUGAGCGGUUCUUCUUAAGUUAAAUACUCGAACGAGUAUCUGAAUCAAGAAUCGCGGAGUUCGGUUCGGUUCUCGAUUCUAGAUUAAGAAUUAAAAAAUCGAAUAAGUACCAAAUCUCGCUAAAUUUAAAUAAGCCAAAUAAUUCUUUUUCCUAAAUAAAUUUGUUAACUAGUAAAUUUAGCUCAAACUUAAAAAUAUGAUUUUUUUUUUUCUAUUUCUAAUUUUCAAUCCAUGCACAACUUAAUCAAAUUGAUGUAAGUUUUUUCCAAAUCUAUUUUUCUACCGUAGUAUCGUUUCUACCAUUAUAGAGAAAAUCGAAUUGAAGCUCAACAGUGCCUUUUUUAAUUAUUGUAAGCUCGUUAAUUAACAGUCAAAUCUAUGAAGAAUUCAACUAAUAGAGAUGCAAAUGUGUCAAUUGAAUCCACUAAUAGCAGCUGCCCCGCAACCCACAAGCCAUUGAUUCCACCAUCUCUACAAUCUUAGGCCCCCUUUGCCCCCAUUUGUGCAAAUGAAAAUGGGUGGAAAAAUGUUUUUUUUUUUUAAUUUAAUAUGAGUGGUUAAAGCAGGAGGAAAAGUUUUUCUGUUUAAUUGUAAUAUUAUUUAAGGUAAGAUUGUGUGGUUGAAAAUAGAAAAGAGAAAAAUGAAAUGUAAUAUAAUGAAAAUUAAUGUCGGCCAAACGAGGGCUUAAUCAUAAACCCUACCAUCUUCAAACACCCAAUUAUAGCAACAUUUAAACAACUUCAAUAAGCACAAAGAAAAAUUCAAUCAACAGUGAGUAGUUGUCUUGAUUUGUUUUAGUACAUUAGCAAAAAAGGGAGAAAGACGGAAUUGUUCUAUCUUAGAUAUUGGUAUUUGCUCUCGAUAGUUAUAGUUCGAGAAAAAAUUGUUCCUUUUUUCAUAAAAAAUGGAAUCCAAUUCCUAUUCAUAGCUAAGCAUUGUAAACCAAAUCUUGUUGGCCUUUGCAUCAAUUAUACAUCUGAAUAUAUCUCCAGCUUUCUAACCAUAUAUGACCCACAAUUAAAGCGGAUGUUUAUUCAGCUCAAAAUGCUAAUUAUGACUAUUUCUUUCACAAUCUAUGUAAAAGGAGUAUUAAAUGAUCUUAAAAUGAUAGAGUUGGGGAACUAAUUGAACAAAAAAUUCAAAACAUAAAAACCUGUAAUAUUUUUCCCAUAUUAGGAGAAGAAAACGUGGAAGAAUGGGUAGUUGAAGCAAUCCUAGAUCUAGUUUGUGCUUUAUUUAGGGAAUAUUUCCUUUUUUUUUCCUUCGACUAUUCUUGAUUCCUCGAGCUUUUAAUAUGGCAGCAUUGGAAUUUCGAAUGCUAUUGUUGGUUUAUGUUAAAGCAUACAAAAUAUGCACAAACUUGGAAUGGCUCCAUCCCUACUUUCAUUCCCUGUUCUUUAAGGGGCUGUGGAAGGCGACGACAAUGGAGCAUCAGUGGAUGUUGUUAGACAAAGUGGAGUUUACAAAUAAGAAGACAAUGAUCAUUUAUUUCAGGUAGUUUGGGAUAUUGUUAUAUGUACACAAAAUAAGUAAGUAAUAGUGAAUGAAUAUUAGCAAAUACAUUUUGAUUGUUUUGGGAAUGUAAAAGGUAAGAAAUGGACGACCAAAUUGUGGCAACAACGCUUUUGGCGGCAUUGGAAGCAUCAUGAUAACCAAGAGUAAUUGAUAAAUACUAUAGUCACUGUUGCGAAAGCUCUCUCCAAGGAUCUUCAAUUCAUUAUUUUCUAGGCUCAAUCCAAAGCACAUUUCUUUACCAACAACCAAUACAACCGUCACCGAUCCACAACCAAUAUAAUUUACCUUGAUUUCUAUUCAAUCUUACCCACGUAGGACAAUAAACAGUUAUUAUUUAUGGCCACAAAGGUUAGGAGAAAACACCACAAAUGUAGGCUAUGAAGGAAUCAUCAAUUACACAAAGUAAAUAAGCGUUUUGGACACUUUUAGGGGUCGUUUUUCACACACUUCAAGGGACAGCCAUGAUUCUCCUUUUCUCACACAAAACCACACAAAUCAUACUAGAAAGUGAUUAAGGUUAUUGCCUUAUAUGUAGUCUAGGGUUAGGCUUUAAGUUGAACCUCUAAGAGAUUUAAACGAGCUAAGAUUCAAGCCAUCCAAGAGGGAUUACAAUUGGUCCGGGUGGAGCUCAUGGACUUGGUUGUUGGACUUAUUUCAUUCAUCGGCAUAUGCCUAUGAAUAAUUAAUUCACGUU